This 95-nucleotide small nucleolar RNA is filed under the name Canis lupus dingo (dingo). The record is from RNAcentral. Lineage: Eukaryota; Metazoa; Chordata; Mammalia; Carnivora; Canidae.
UUUGGUUGUUUUUUUAAGUAAUCUCGACCUUCAACAUGGGGCUUGAACUCAUGACCCUGAGAUCAAAAGUCACAUGCUCUACCAUCUGAGCCAGG